GGGUCAGUAGGUUGGUCGUGCCACCGGUACGUACUGGUCUCACUGAUUCCUCCUUCCUGAAGAACCGUAAUGCCAUUAAUUUGGUGUUGCGGGGAAACAGGACUGCUACUUUGAAAAAAUUAGAGUGUUUAAAGCAAGCUAACGCUUGAAUACAUUAGCAUGGAAUAAUGAAAUAGGACGAUCGAUCCUAUUUUGUCGGUUUCUAGGAUUGACGUA
RNAcentral lists this ribosomal RNA (216 nucleotides) under Glomeromycotina sp. RNAcentral's name for it is "partial small subunit ribosomal RNA". The stretch from base 44 to 216 matches the Rfam family "Eukaryotic small subunit ribosomal RNA", at positions 690 to 864 of the family's 1831-position model. Lineage: Eukaryota; Fungi; Glomeromycota. The record is from RNAcentral.